This is an RNA transcript of Rhinopithecus roxellana (golden snub-nosed monkey), 2600 nucleotides long. It is a transcript of the gene named epidermal growth factor receptor substrate 15-like 1 pseudogene, with no coding region annotated. Lineage: Eukaryota; Metazoa; Chordata; Mammalia; Primates; Cercopithecidae. The transcript has a single exon. The record is from RefSeq and is a predicted model, not a curated record.
AGGGGGAAAGAUGGCGGCACCACUCAUCCCCCUCUCCCAGCAGAUUCCCACUGAAAAUUCGUUGUAUGAAUCUUAUUACAAGCAGGUCGAUCCAGCAUACACAGGGAGGGUGGGGGCGAGUGAAGCUGUGCUUUUUCUAAAGAAGUCUGGCCUCUCGGACAUUAUCCUUGGGAAGAUAUGGGACUUGGCUGACCCAGAAGGUAAAGGGUUCUUGGACAAACAGGGUUUCUAUGUUGCACUGAGACUGGUGGCCUGUGCACAGAGUGGCCAUGAAGUUACCUUCAGCAAUCUGAUUUUGAGCAUGCCACCACCUAAAUUUCACGACACCAGCAGCCCUCUGAUGGUCACACCGCCCUCUGCAGAGGCCCACUGGGCUGUGAGGGUGGAAGAAAAGGCCAAAUUUGAUGGGAUUUUUGAAAGCCUCUUGCAAAAUGGUUUGCUCUCUGGAGACAAAGUCAAGCCAGUCCUCAUGAACUCAAAGCUGCCUCUUGAUGUCCUGGGCCGGGCUGGGACCUCAGUGACAUUGACAAGGAUGGGCACUUGGACCGAGAUGAGUUCGCUGUGGCCAUGCACUUGGUGUACCGAGCCCUGGAGAAGGAGCCCAUGCCCUCCGCCCUGCCCCUGUCCUUCAUCCCACCCUCCAAGAGAAAGAAGACUGUGUUCCCUGGUGCCGUCCCUGUCCUGCUCGGCAGCCCUCCACCAAAAGACAGCCUCCGCUCCACACCGUCCCACGGCAGUGUCAGCAGCCUCAACAGCACAGGAAGCCUGUCCCUCAAGCACAGCCUCAAGCAAACACAGCCAACAGUGAACUGGGUGGUGCCGGUAGCAGACAAGAUGCGAUUUGAUUAGAUAUUCCUGAAGACCGAUCUGGAUCUGGAUGGCUACGUGAGUGGCCAGGAGGUGAAGGAGAUCUUCAUGCACUCGGGCCUCACCCAGAACCUUCUAGCACACAUAUGGGCCCUGGCCGAUACGAGGCAAACGGGGAAGUUAAGCAAAGACCAAUUCGCGUUAGCUGUGUAUUUCAUUCAGCAGAAGGUCAGUAAAGGCAUCGACCCCCCUCAAGUCCUCUCGCCAGACAUGGUCCCGCCCUCGGAGAGAGGCACGCCCGGCCCGGACAGUUCAGGCUCUCUCGGCUCCGGGGAGUUUACUGGUGUGAAGGAGCUCGAUGACAUCAAUCAAGAGAUUGCCCAGUUACAAAGAGAGAAAUAUUCACUGGAACAAGACAUUCGAGAAAAGGAAGAGGCAAUCAGACAGAAAACCAGCGAGGUGCAGGAAUUACAAAAUGACCUAGACCGGGAAACAAGCAGUUUGCAGGAGCUCGAGGCUCAGAAACAGGAUGCUCAAGACCGCCUGGACGAGAUGGACCAGCAGAAGGCCAAGCUCCCAGACAUGUUGAGCGACGUCCGGCAGAAGUGCCAGGAUGAGACUCAGAUGAUCUCAUCAUUGAAAACGCAAAUCCAGUCUCAGGAGUCGGACUUAAAGUCCCAGGAAGACGAUCUGAACCGAGCCAAGUCGGAGCUGAACCGAUUGCAGCAGGAUGAAACCCAGCUGGAGCAGAGCAUGCAGGCCGGGCGAGUCCAGCUGGAAACCAUUAUCAAGUCCCUGAAAUCAACGCAAGACGAAAUCAACCAGGCAAGGAGCAAACUUUCCCAGCUGCACGAAAGCCGCCAGGAGGCCCACAGGAGCCUGGAGCAGUAUGACCAGGUGCUUGAUGGAGCCCAUGGCGCCAGCCUGACCGACCUGGCCGACCUGAGCGAAGGCGUCUCGCUGGCAGAGAGGGGCGGUUUUGGAGCCAUGGAUGAUCCUUUCAAAAAUAAAGCCUUGUUAUUUAGCAACAACACGCAAGAGCUGCAUCCGGAUCCUUUCCAGACAGAAGACCCCUUCAAAUCUGACCCAUUUAAAGGAGCUGAUCCCUUCAAAGGCGACCCGUUCCAGAAUGACCCCUUUGCAGAACAGCAGACAACUUCAACAGAUCCAUUUGGAGGGGACCCUUUCAAAGAAAGUGACCCAUUCCGUGGCUCUGCCACCGACGACUUCUUCAAGAAACAGACAAAGAAUGACCCAUUUACCUCGGACCCAUUCACGAAAAACCCUUCCUUACCUUUGAAACUCGACCCCUUUGAAUCCAGUGAUCCCUUUUCAUCCUCCAGUGUCUCCUCAAAAGGAUCAGAUCCCUUUGGAACCUUAGAUCCCUUCGGAAGUGGGUCCUUCAAUAGUGCUGAAGGCUUUGCCGACUUCAGCCAGAUGUCCAAGCCCCCACCUUCUGGCCCUUUCACCUCCUCCUUGGGAGGGGCAGGAUUCUCAGAUGACCCCUUUAAAAGUAAACAGGACACUCCUGCUCUGCCUCCGAAGAAACCGCUCCUCCAGGGCCUAAACCGCCCAGCGGUAAAAGUACACCUGUAAGCCAGCUUGGUUCUGCAGACUUUCCCGAGGCCCCCGAUCCAUUCCAGCCACUCGGGGCUGACAGCGGCGACCCGUUCCAAAGUAAAAAGGGGUUUGGGGACCCGUUUAGUGGGAAAGACCCAUUUGUCCCCUCCUCUGCAGCUAAACCUUCUAAGGCCUCUGCCUCGGGCUUUGCAGACUUCACCUCUGUAAGUUGA